AUGCAUAUGGUGUUCAUUGACUUGGAGAAGGCCUACAAUAAGAUACCGCGGAAUGUCAUGUGGUGGGCGUUGGAGAAACACACAGUCCUAACAAAGUACAUUACCCUCAUCAAGGACAUGUACGAUAAUGUUGUGACAAGUGUUCGAACAAGUGGUGGCGACACUGAUGACUUCCCGAUUAAAAUAGGACCGCACCAGUGGUCAGCUUUGAGCCCUUAUCCUUUUGCUUUGGUGAUGGAUGAGGUCACAAGGGAUAUACAAGGAGAUAUCCCAUGGUGCAUGCUCUUUGCGGAUGAUGUGGUGCUAGUCGAUGAUAGUCGGACGGGGUUAAUAGAAAGUACUACUAGGCACGAGGAGGAGGUUAGCCUUGAUGGGCAGGUGGUACCUCGAACACCUUUCGAUAUUUGGGGCUAUGGGGAUAUCGAUGAAGAUGUGAAUCAUCGAAUCAAAACCGGAUGGAUGAAGUGGCGCCAAGCUUCUGGAGUUCUCUGUGACAAGAGAGUGCCACAAAAGCUAAAAGGCAGGUUCUAUAGGAGAUUCGACCAGCAAUGUUGUAUGGCACUGAGUGUUGGCCGACUAAAAGGCGACAUGUUCAAUAGUUAG
This 603-nucleotide ribosomal RNA is filed under the name Triticum aestivum (bread wheat). Its description in RNAcentral is "partial small subunit ribosomal RNA". The record is from RNAcentral. Lineage: Eukaryota; Viridiplantae; Streptophyta; Magnoliopsida; Poales; Poaceae.